Molecule: non-coding RNA, 228 nt
Organism: Ictidomys tridecemlineatus (thirteen-lined ground squirrel)
Lineage: Eukaryota; Metazoa; Chordata; Mammalia; Rodentia; Sciuridae
Source: RefSeq, a predicted model, not a curated record
UGAAAUGUUUGCUAUUAGAAGAUAAUUCCAAUGUUAUAUGAACAACCUCUGCUGACAGGAUUCUCACAAGUUAGCUUUCCUUUGAAACAGAAACAGACUAAUGGAACAGAGUGAAGAACCUCAAAAUAGAUCUACACAUAUAGGGUUAAUUCUUCUCUACAAAUGGGUAUGAAGAAUCCACGAUGUGUAAAAGGUAGACUGUUCAAUAAAUGCUAUUGAGGAAACUGG